This 515-nucleotide ribosomal RNA is filed under the name uncultured bacterium. Its description in RNAcentral is "partial 16S ribosomal RNA". It matches the Rfam family "Bacterial small subunit ribosomal RNA", at positions 28 to 523 of the family's 1533-position model. The record is from RNAcentral.
GAUGAACGCUGGCGGCGUGCCUAAUACAUGCAAGUCGAGCGAAUGGAUUAAGAGCUUGCUCUUAUGAAGUUAGCGGCGGACGGGUGAGUAACACGUGGGUAACCUGCCCAUAAGACUGGGAUAACUCCGGGAAACCGGGGCUAAUACCGGAUAACAUUUUGAACCGCAUGGUUCGAGAUUGAAAGGCGGCUUCGGCUGUCACUUAUGGAUGGACCCGCGUCGCAUUAGCUAGUUGGUGCGGUAACGGCUCACCAAGGCAACGAUGCGUAGCCGAACGGGGAGGGGGAUCGGCCAGACGGGGACUGGGACACGGCCCAGACUCCUACGGGAGGCAGCAGUAGGGAAUCUUCCGCAAUGGACGAAAGUCUGACGGAGCAACGCCGCGUGAGUGAUGAAGGCUUUCGGGUCGUAAAACUCUGUUGUUAGGGAAGAACAAGUGCUAGUUGAAUAAGCUGGCACCUUGACGGUACCUAACCAGAAAGCCACGGCUAACUACGUGCCAGCCGCCGCAGUAA